This 497-nucleotide ribosomal RNA is filed under the name uncultured bacterium. Its description in RNAcentral is "partial 16S ribosomal RNA". It matches the Rfam family "Bacterial small subunit ribosomal RNA", at positions 28 to 507 of the family's 1533-position model. The record is from RNAcentral.
GAUGAACGCUGGCGGCGUGCCUAAUACAUGCAAGUCGAGCGAACAGACGAGGAGCUUGCUCCUCUGACGUUAGCGGCGGACGGGUGAGUAACACGUGGAUAACCUACCUAUAAGACUGGGAUAACUUCGGGAAACCGGAGCUAAUACCGGAUAAUAUAUUGAACCGCAUGGUUCAAUAGUGAAAGACGGUUUUGCUGUCACUUAUAGAUGGAUCCGCGCCGCAUUAGCUAGUUGGUAAGGUAACGGCUUACCAAGGCAACGAUGCGUAGCCGACCUGAGAGGGUGAUCGCCCACACUGGAACGGAGACACGGUCCAGACUCCUACGGGAGGCAGCAGUAGGGAAUCUUCCGCAAUGGGCGAAAGCCUGACGGAGCAACGCCGCGUGAGAGAUGAAGGUCUUCGGAUCGUAAAACUCUGUUAUUAGGGAAAAACAAAUGUGUAAGUAACUACGCACGUCUUGACGGUACCUAAUCAGAAAGCCACGGCUAACUACGUG